This 492-nucleotide ribosomal RNA is filed under the name uncultured bacterium. RNAcentral describes it as "partial 16S ribosomal RNA". It matches the Rfam family "Bacterial small subunit ribosomal RNA", at positions 29 to 507 of the family's 1533-position model. The record is from RNAcentral.
AGUGAACGCUGGCGGUAUGCCUAACACAUGCAAGUCGAACGGCAGCACAGUAAGAUCUUGCUCUUACGGGUGGCGAGUGGCGGACGGGUGAGGAAUACAUCGGAAUCUACUUUUUCGUGGGGGAUAACGUAGGGAAACUUACGCUAAUACCGCAUACGACCUACGGGUGAAAGCAGGGGAUCUUCGGACCUUGCGCGAUUGAAUGAGCCGAUGUCGGAUUAGCUAGUUGGCGGGGUAAAGGCCCACCAAGGCGACGAUACGUAGCUGGUCUGAGAGGAUGAUCAGCCACACUGGAACUGAGACACGGUCCAGACUCCUACGGGAGGCAGCAGUAGGGAAUAUUGGACAAUGGGCGCAAGCCUGAUCCAGCCAUACCGCGUGGGUGAAGAAGGCCUUCGGGUUGUAAAGCCCUUUUGUUGGGAAAGAAAAGCAGCAGGUUAAUACCCCGCUGUUCUGACGGUACCCAAAGAAUAAGCACCGGCUAACUUCGUG